AAACCAACAGGGAUUACCUCAGUAACGGCGAGUGAAGCGGUAACAGCUCAAAUUUGAAAUCUCCCGCCAGGGCGAGUUGUAAUUUGUAGAAGAUGCUUUGGGUAUGGCCCCGGUCUAAGUCCGUUGGAACACGGCGUCAUAGAGGGUGAGAAUCCCGUAUGUGACUGGGCGCUUUUGCCUAUGUAAAGCUCUUUCGACGAGUCGAGUUGUUUGGGAAUGCAGCUCAAAAUGGGUGGUAUAUUUCAUCUAAAGCUAAAUAUUGGCCAGAGACCGAUAGCGCACAAGUAGAGUGAUCGAAAGAUGAAAAGCACUUUGGAAAGAGAGUUAAACAGUACGUGAAAUUGUUGAAAGGGAAGCGCUUGCGACCAGACUUGCACGCUGUUGAUCAUCUAGGCUUCUGUCUGGUGCACUCGACUGCGUUCAGGCCAGCAUCGGUUUUGGUGGUUGGAUAAAGGCCUUGGGAAUGUAGCUUCCUUCGGGGAGUGUUAUAGCCCUCGGUGCAAUGCAGCCUACCGGGACCGAGGACCGCGCUUCGGCUAGGAUGCUGGCGUAAUGGUCGUAAGCGAC
This 567-nucleotide ribosomal RNA is filed under the name Pezoloma sp. NBRC 103659. Its description in RNAcentral is "eukaryotic LSU rRNA". It matches the Rfam family "Eukaryotic large subunit ribosomal RNA", at positions 62 to 648 of the family's 3401-position model. Lineage: Eukaryota; Fungi; Ascomycota; Leotiomycetes; Helotiales; Discinellaceae. The record is from RNAcentral.